This 56-nucleotide transfer RNA is filed under the name Teladorsagia circumcincta. RNAcentral describes it as "tRNA-Gln". Lineage: Eukaryota; Metazoa; Nematoda; Chromadorea; Rhabditida; Trichostrongylidae. The record is from RNAcentral.
UUGUAAUUAGUUUAGUAAAAAUAUUUGUUUUUGGUGUAAAAGAGAUUAUUACAAAA